Molecule: ribosomal RNA, 1301 nt
Filed under: Paenarthrobacter nicotinovorans
Lineage: Bacteria; Bacillati; Actinomycetota; Actinomycetes; Micrococcales; Micrococcaceae
Description: bacterial SSU rRNA
Rfam family: Bacterial small subunit ribosomal RNA
Source: RNAcentral
GUGAGUAACCUGCCCUUGACUCUGGGAUAAGCCUGGGAAACUGGGUCUAAUACCGGAUAUGACUCCUCAUCGCAUGGUGGGGGGUGGAAAGCUUUUGUGGUUUUGGAUGGACUCGCGGCCUAUCAGCUUGUUGGUGGGGUAAUGGCCUACCAAGGCGACGACGGGUAGCCGGCCUGAGAGGGUGACCGGCCACACUGGGACUGAGACACGGCCCAGACUCCUACGGGAGGCAGCAGUGGGGAAUAUUGCACAAUGGGCGCAAGCCUGAUGCAGCGACGCCGCGUGAGGGAUGACGGCCUUCGGGUUGUAAACCUCUUUCAGUAGGGAAGAAGCGAAAGUGACGGUACCUGCAGAAGAAGCGCCGGCUAACUACGUGCCAGCAGCCGCGGUAAUACGUAGGGCGCAAGCGUUAUCCGGAAUUAUUGGGCGUAAAGAGCUCGUAGGCGGUUUGUCGCGUCUGCUGUGAAAGACCGGGGCUCAACUCCGGUUCUGCAGUGGGUACGGGCAGACUAGAGUGCAGUAGGGGAGACUGGAAUUCCUGGUGUAGCGGUGAAAUGCGCAGAUAUCAGGAGGAACACCGAUGGCGAAGGCAGGUCUCUGGGCUGUAACUGACGCUGAGGAGCGAAAGCAUGGGGAGCGAACAGGAUUAGAUACCCUGGUAGUCCAUGCCGUAAACGUUGGGCACUAGGUGUGGGGGACAUUCCACGUUUUCCGCGCCGUAGCUAACGCAUUAAGUGCCCCGCCUGGGGAGUACGGCCGCAAGGCUAAAACUCAAAGGAAUUGACGGGGGCCCGCACAAGCGGCGGAGCAUGCGGAUUAAUUCGAUGCAACGCGAAGAACCUUACCAAGGCUUGACAUGAACCGGUAAUACCUGGAAACAGGUGCCCCGCUUGCGGUCGGUUUACAGGUGGUGCAUGGUUGUCGUCAGCUCGUGUCGUGAGAUGUUGGGUUAAGUCCCGCAACGAGCGCAACCCUCGUUCUAUGUUGCCAGCGCGUUAUGGCGGGGACUCAUAGGAGACUGCCGGGGUCAACUCGGAGGAAGGUGGGGACGACGUCAAAUCAUCAUGCCCCUUAUGUCUUGGGCUUCACGCAUGCUACAAUGGCCGGUACAAAGGGUUGCGAUACUGUGAGGUGGAGCUAAUCCCAAAAAGCCGGUCUCAGUUCGGAUUGGGGUCUGCAACUCGACCCCAUGAAGUCGGAGUCGCUAGUAAUCGCAGAUCAGCAACGCUGCGGUGAAUACGUUCCCGGGCCUUGUACACACCGCCCGUCAAGUCACGAAAGUUGGUAACACCCGAAGCCGG